This 253-nucleotide ribosomal RNA is filed under the name uncultured bacterium. Its description in RNAcentral is "partial 16S ribosomal RNA". It matches the Rfam family "Bacterial small subunit ribosomal RNA", at positions 524 to 776 of the family's 1533-position model. The record is from RNAcentral.
UACGGAGGGAGCUAGCGUUGUUCGGAAUUACUGGGCGUAAAGCGCACGUAGGCGGCUAUUCAAGUCGGGGGUGAAAGCCCGGGGCUCAACCCCGGAACUGCCUUCGAAACUAGAUAGCUAGAAUCUUGGAGAGGUCAGUGGAAUUCCGAGUGUAGAGGUGAAAUUCGUAGAUAUUCGGAAGAACACCAGUGGCGAAGGCGACUGACUGGACAAGUAUUGACGCUGAGGUGCGAAAGCGUGGGGAGCAAACAGG